UACGUAGGGUCCGAGCGUUGUCCGGAAUUAUUGGGCGUAAAGGGCUCGUAGGCGGUCCGUCACGUCGGGUGUGAAAACUCAGGGCUCAACCCUGAGCGUGCUUCCGAUACGGGCGGACUAGAGGUAUGCAGGGGAGAACGGAAUUCCUGGUGUAGCGGUGGAAUGCGCAGAUAUCAGGAGGAACACCGGUGGCGAAGGCGGUUCUCUGGGCAUUACCUGACGCUGAGGAGCGAAAGCAUGGGGAGCGAACGGG
RNAcentral lists this ribosomal RNA (253 nucleotides) under uncultured bacterium. RNAcentral describes it as "partial 16S ribosomal RNA". It matches the Rfam family "Bacterial small subunit ribosomal RNA", at positions 524 to 776 of the family's 1533-position model. The record is from RNAcentral.